This 452-nucleotide ribosomal RNA is filed under the name uncultured organism. RNAcentral's name for it is "partial 16S ribosomal RNA". It matches the Rfam family "Bacterial small subunit ribosomal RNA", at positions 330 to 798 of the family's 1533-position model. The record is from RNAcentral.
CGUACACUCCUACGGGAGGCAGCAGUGGGGAAUAUUGGACAAUGGGCGCAAGCCUGAUCCAGCCAUGCCGCGUGAGUGAUGAAGGCCCUAGGGUUGUAAAGCUCUUUUGUGCGGGAAGAUAAUGACGGUACCGCAAGAAUAAGCCCCGGCUAACUUCGUGCCAGCAGCCGCGGUAAUACGAAGGGGGCUAGCGUUGCUCGGAAUCACUGGGCGUAAAGGGUGCGUAGGCGGGUCUUUAAGUCAGGGGUGAAAUCCUGGAGCUCAACUCCAGAACUGCCUUUGAUACUGAAGAUCUUGAGUUCGGGAGAGGUGGGUGGAACUGCGAGUGUAGAGGUGAAAUUCGUAGAUAUUCGCAAGAACACCAGUGGCGAAGGCGGCUCACUGGCCCGAUACUGACGCUGAGGCACGAAAGCGUGGGGAGCAAACAGGAUUAGAAACCCCAGUAGUCCCAU